AGAGAGAGAGAGAGAGAGAGAGAGAGAGAGAGAGAGAGAGAGAGAGAGAGAGAGAGAGAGAGAGAGAGAGAGAGAGAGAGAGAGAGAGAGAGAGAGAGAGAGAGAGAGAGAGAGAGAGAGAGAGAGAGAGAGAGAGAGAGAGAGAGAGAGAGAGAGAGAGAGAGAGAGAGAGAGAGAGAGAGAGAGAGAGAGAGAGAGAGAGAGAGAGAGAGAGAGAGAGAGAGAGAGAGAGAGAGAGAGAGAGAGAGGAGAGAGAGAGAGAGAGAGAGAGAGAGAGAGAGAGAGAGAGAGAGAGAGAGAGAGAGAGAGAGAGAGAGAGAGAGAAACAGAAGUAGGAGACGACAGGAUGACAGAUUAUCCCUUGGGGCACCCAUAAACUGAGAGGGCUAAAAAAAAUUAAAAAAAAAAAAAAAAAAUAAAUAAAAAAUAAAAAUGCCUCACCCUAUAUCCCUGAUGGGGAAGGAAAUGGAUUAGGGCUUUGGAGGAGGAGAAUGUGGGACGAUUAUUGGCCAUGAAAGAUUUGAAGGCACCAUUGGUAAAAGUAGUGGGAACCACUAAGUGUCAGAUAAAGAUGAUGUAAAUUGUUACAACCGGGCCGACAAAAGACUACAAACAUGGCCGCCGCUCACAAACUUACCGGCUACAGCGCCAUCUUCUGGUUGGAUGCCGUCAUGACCGAGGGUAUGCAGGCCCCUCAGCAAAUGUUACCCACUUAAGGUGAACCCCAAGGAACAAAGGGGAAUGAAAAGGUGGAGAGUUGAAAAUGAACAAGAAAAAGAAGGCAUGUGGACAUUAUAUUAUGAACUAUUGUGGUGGAAGUCAUUCUUCUUAAAGUCAAGCAGAAUUGAAGGAGGUGGUGGGAUUGUCAUUUAUUUCCAACCCCCGAUUCAGCAAACAGUUGGUCUCUGCGGUCAAUGUCAAUGAACAAAGCCCCUGGUUGAAAAGACUGAAAUAAGUGAUGAACUGACACAAAAUUAAAAACCAAGGAGCUGUUGGCACAGAGUCCCCAUCUCGACUUGCCAAUCCAUUCUGUGAAAGCAGAGAACUGGGAUCUUGUAAAAUCAUGGAAGGAAGAAAAGCUGCAACCAAAGUGGACUGGACCCUACCUUGUGUUAUUAAUCACCGAGACAGCAGUACGAACAAAAGAAAAAGGGUGGACACACGCAAACCGAUGUAAGGGUCCUGUGGAGGCCCCACCGGACAAUAUCAGCCCGUAGACUGUGCGUGAAGGGAAGGAACCAUUGACUUUGUGCCUAUUCGGAUGUUGUAUUAUUCCCUGCGCUGGCCUUCAGAACACAGUAUGACUAGCGAGAGGAGGAUAGGGAGGCGAAGAAUCUGCUGCUAGCACUAGAAAAGGAAGAUAUAGUAUAAUUCAAAAGAUGCGUAGCAAAAAGAAAAA
Leucoraja erinaceus (little skate) is the source of this 1399-nucleotide long non-coding RNA. RefSeq lists it as uncharacterized. The record is from RefSeq and is a predicted model, not a curated record. The transcript is spliced from 2 exons. Lineage: Eukaryota; Metazoa; Chordata; Chondrichthyes; Rajiformes; Rajidae.